GAUGAACGCUAGCUACAGGCUUAACACAUGCAAGUCGAGGGGAAACGACAUCGAAAGCUUGCUUUUGAUGGGCGUCGACCGGCGCACGGGUGAGUAACGCGUAUCCAACCUGCCCAUCACUUGGGAAUAACCUUGCGAAAGUAAGACUAAUACCCAAUAAUAUCCCACGAAGGCAUCGGAAUGGGAUUAAAGAUUUAUCGGUGAUGGAUGGGGAUGCGUCUGAUUAGCUUGUUGGCGGGGUAACGGCCCACCAAGGCAACGAUCAGUAGGGGUUCUGAGAGGAAGGUCCCCCACAUUGGAACUGAGACACGGUCCAAACUCCUACGGGAGGCAGCAGUGAGGAAUAUUGGUCAAUGGGCGAGAGCCUGAACCAGCCAAGUAGCGUGCAGGAAGACGGCCCUAUGAGUUGUAAACUGCUUUUAUAAGGGAAUAAAGUGGGUCACGUGUGACUUUUUGCAUGUACCUGAUGAAUAAGGACCGGCUAAUUCCGUG
RNAcentral lists this ribosomal RNA (492 nucleotides) under uncultured bacterium. RNAcentral describes it as "partial 16S ribosomal RNA". It matches the Rfam family "Bacterial small subunit ribosomal RNA", at positions 28 to 507 of the family's 1533-position model. The record is from RNAcentral.